GGAUCGAUAGCUCAGUUGGUAGGGCAUUAGACUCUUAAAUCUCAGAGGCAUGGGUUCAAAGCCCACUCUGUGUG
This is a non-coding RNA of Podarcis lilfordi (Lilford's wall lizard), 74 nucleotides long. NCBI's taxonomy places the organism in Eukaryota, Metazoa, Chordata, Lepidosauria, Squamata, Lacertidae. The record is from the annotation of a GenBank genome assembly.